Molecule: transfer RNA, 68 nt
Filed under: Stegodyphus mimosarum
Lineage: Eukaryota; Metazoa; Arthropoda; Arachnida; Araneae; Eresidae
Rfam family: tRNA
About the family: Transfer RNA (tRNA) molecules are approximately 80 nucleotides in length. Their secondary structure includes four short double-helical elements and three loops (D, anti-codon, and T loops). Further hydrogen bonds mediate the characteristic L-shaped molecular structure. tRNAs have two regions of fundamental functional importance: the anti-codon, which is responsible for specific mRNA codon recognition, and the 3' end, to which the tRNAs corresponding amino acid is attached (by aminoacyl-tRNA synthetases). tRNAs cope with the degeneracy of the genetic code in two manners: having more than one tRNA (with a specific anti-codon) for a particular amino acid; and 'wobble' base-pairing, i.e. permitting non-standard base-pairing at the 3rd anti-codon position.
Source: Rfam by way of RNAcentral
GCCUUCGUGGUGUAGUGAUCAGCACGCUCGUAUUCGAGAGGUCCGUGGUUCGAGUCCCGGCGAGGGCA